Molecule: ribosomal RNA, 255 nt
Filed under: uncultured bacterium
Lineage: Bacteria
Description: partial 16S ribosomal RNA
Rfam family: Bacterial small subunit ribosomal RNA
Source: RNAcentral
UACAGAGGUCCCAAGCGUUGUUCGGAUUCACUGGGCGUAAAGGGUGCGCAGGUGGUUUGGCAAGUUUGACGUGAAAGCCCCGGGCUUAACCCGGGAAUGGCGUUGAAAACUGCUUGAACUGGAGGGUUGGAGGGGGGACUGGAAUUCUUGGUGUAGCAGUGAAAUGCGUAGAUAUCGAGAGGAACACCAGUGGCGAAGGCGAGUCCCUGGACACUUCCUGACACUGAGGCACGAAAGCUAGGGGGAGCAAACAGG